GAUGAACGCUGGCGGCGUGCCUAAUACAUGCAAGUCGAGCGAACAGACGAGGAGCUUGCUCCUCUGACGUUAGCGGCGGACGGGUGAGUAACACGUGGAUAACCUACCUAUAAGACUGGGAUAACUUCGGGAAACCGGAUCUAAUACCGGAUAAUAUAUUGAACCGCAUGGUUCAAUAGUGAAAGACGGUUUUGCUGUCACUUAUAGAUGGAUCCGCGCCGCAUUAGCUAGUUGGUAAGGUAACGGCUUACCAAGGCUACGAUGCGUAGCCGACCUGAGAGGGGGAUGGGCAAAACAGAAAAUGAGAAACGGUACAGAAACCAAGGGGAGGCAGAAGUAGGGAAUCGUCCGAAAUGGGCGAAAGCCUGAAGGAGAAACGCAGCGUGAGUGAUGAAGGUCUUCGGAUCGUAAAACUCUGUUAUUAGGGAAGAACAAAUGUGUAAGUAACUAUGCACGUAUUGACGGUACCUAAUCAGAAAGCCACGGCUAACUACGU
RNAcentral lists this ribosomal RNA (496 nucleotides) under uncultured bacterium. RNAcentral describes it as "partial 16S ribosomal RNA". It matches the Rfam family "Bacterial small subunit ribosomal RNA", at positions 28 to 506 of the family's 1533-position model. The record is from RNAcentral.